RNAcentral lists this ribosomal RNA (223 nucleotides) under Peptoniphilus faecalis. RNAcentral's name for it is "Peptoniphilus sp. AGMB00490 partial 16S ribosomal RNA". It matches the Rfam family "Bacterial small subunit ribosomal RNA", at positions 1 to 201 of the family's 1533-position model. The record is from RNAcentral. Lineage: Bacteria; Bacillati; Bacillota; Tissierellia; Tissierellales; Peptoniphilaceae.
UUUAAUUGAGAGUUUGAUCCUGGCUCAGGACGAACGCUGGCGGCGCGCUUAACACAUGCAAGUCGAGCGAUGAAAUUUUAGCAACUUCCUUCGGGGAGAAGCAAAAAUGGAUUAGCGGCGGACGGGUGAGUAACACGUGAGUAACCUACCUUAGACAUUGGGAUAGCCUCGGGAAACUGGGAUUAAUACCAAAUAAAAUCAUAGAAGCACAUGCAACAAUGAU